CCUGGUUGAUCCUGCCAGUAUUCAUAUGCUUG
Molecule: ribosomal RNA, 32 nt
Filed under: Betencourtia neesii
Lineage: Eukaryota; Viridiplantae; Streptophyta; Magnoliopsida; Fabales; Fabaceae
Description: Galactia neesii partial 18S ribosomal RNA
Source: RNAcentral